UCUUCGGCAGAUCAUCAACCAAGAGACCCUUAUCCGGUUAGCCGUGGUCAAGAAUGUUACAACAGUAGUAGACGACGUUAAUUCUGUGAAGCGAAGCAUGGCGUCUACAGAUACGAUUGACUCCACGCUACAGCAGACUCUCAAUACACUGAAAGGACAGGUUGAUUCGUUAAUUGUAGACACUACUUUAGCGCAGAAAGUAGAGACAUUACAAAGAUAGGUUUAUACUCUAGGACAGGGCAAAACUUUGGAGCAGAAAAUAGAAACAUUAGAAAGACAGUUUACUAAUCUAAGUCAGGAUAACGCUUUACAACGGAAGGUAGAAACAUUACAAAGAAAGUUUGAUUCUCUGGCUCAGGAGCAGACAAUAGAAAACAAGAAUUGGCAGAAAAAGAUUCAGGAAAUUGAACAGAAUUUUAUAGAAACAUCGUCGAAGUUAACGAUUUUCUAUAUAACAGAACAUUGCAAACCUUUAAAAAAGAUUGUAAGGACCACUAUCUACAAGGACAAACAUAGUCCGGUGUAUAUAAAAUUAGUCCCUUCGGUAAUGAGAGUCAGAUAGACGUGUACUGUGAUAUGGUGACAGAAGGCGGAGGGUGGACAGCAAUUCAGAAACGGGUGAGCGGAUCAGUGAGUUUUAACAGAACGUGGGUGGAGUACAAGAAUGGGUUCGGGAGCGCUUACGACUCUUACUGGAUUGGAAAUGACGCUAUUCACCAGCUGACAAAGGGAAGGAACUCUUCCCUAUACGUUUCCAUUACAUUACGAAAUGGCAGAACUUUGUAUGAAGUCUAUCAACAGUUUUCUAUUUAUGAUGAAACAGAAAACUACAGAUUCCUUUUU
Molecule: long non-coding RNA, 843 nt
Organism: Saccostrea echinata
Lineage: Eukaryota; Metazoa; Mollusca; Bivalvia; Ostreida; Ostreidae
Exons: 5
Source: RefSeq, a predicted model, not a curated record